UAAUACGUGAGUAACCUGCCCUUGACUCUGGGAUAAGCCUGGGAAACCGGGUCUAAUACUGGAUACUACUGCGCAUCGCAUGGUGUGUGGUGGAAAGGGUUUUACUGGUUUUGGAUGGGCUCACGGCCUAUCAGCUUGUUGGUGGGGUAAUGGCUCACCAAGGCGACGACGGGUAGCCGGCCUGAGAGGGUGACCGGCCACACUGGGACUGAGACACGGCCCAGACUCCUACGGGAGGCAGCAGUGGGGAAUAUUGCACAAUGGGCGAAAGCCUGAUGCAGCGACGCCGCGUGAGGGAUGACGGCCUUCGGGUUGUAAACCUCUUUCAGUAGGGAAGAAGCGAGAGUGACGGUACCUGCAGAAGAAGCGCCGGCUAACUACGUGCCAGCAGCCGCGGUAAUACGUAGGGCGCAAGCGUUGUCCGGAAUUAUUGGGCGUAAAGAGCUCGUAGGCGGUUUGUCGCGUCUGCUGUGAAAGCCCGGGGCUCAACCCCGGGUCUGCAGUGGGUACGGGCAGACUAGAGUGCAGUAGGGGAGACUGGAAUUCCUGGUGUAGCGGUGAAAUGCGCAGAUAUCAGGAGGAACACCGAUGGCGAAGGCAGGUCUCUGGGCUGUUACUGACGCUGAGGAGCGAAAGCAUGG
Molecule: ribosomal RNA, 641 nt
Filed under: Kocuria sp. EGI80221
Lineage: Bacteria; Bacillati; Actinomycetota; Actinomycetes; Micrococcales; Micrococcaceae
Description: bacterial SSU rRNA
Rfam family: Bacterial small subunit ribosomal RNA
Source: RNAcentral